This 127-nucleotide small nucleolar RNA is filed under the name Caenorhabditis brenneri. RNAcentral describes it as "snoRNA CBN34092". It matches the Rfam family "Caenorhabditis snoRNA ceN86". The record is from Rfam by way of RNAcentral. Lineage: Eukaryota; Metazoa; Nematoda; Chromadorea; Rhabditida; Rhabditidae.
UUGCAGCUGAGCUCGAGAAGUUUCUCCCGUGAGAGAUCCAUAUAUCAAAUGUUACGAAAGUGACAAUGCUCUUUAUUCGGGCUUCUAAAUACCUUGUUCAUCACGCGAUGAUGUGGUCAUAAUUUUU